RNAcentral lists this small nuclear RNA (305 nucleotides) under Chinchilla lanigera (long-tailed chinchilla). Its description in RNAcentral is "7SK RNA (ENSCLAG00000022056.1)". It matches the Rfam family "7SK RNA". From Rfam's summary of the family: 7SK was discovered as an abundant small nuclear RNA in the mid-70s but a possible function has only recently been suggested. Two independent studies have found that 7SK RNA binds the CDK9/cyclin T complex (known as elongation factor P-TEFb). The record is from Rfam by way of RNAcentral. Lineage: Eukaryota; Metazoa; Chordata; Mammalia; Rodentia; Chinchillidae.
AGAUGUGAGGGUGAUCUGGUUGCAACAUCUGUCAACCCACUGAUCGCCAGGGUUGAUUCGAUUGAUGGCUGCCUAGGUGGGUGUCCCCUUUCUUUCUCAACACUCCAUUUGCAUCCCUCCUGAAGCUGUGUGGUCAGUCAAAGAGGAGGACCACCCCUGAUAGAGGAGGGAUGUUCCUUGGUCAAGGUUAUACCAGUAGCUGCGCUCCACUGUUAGAACCUCCAAAUAAGCUCUCAAGGGCCAAAAGAAUUGUGUUAAAUGAAAAAAGCUAAACACAAAAGGUUACAUCUUGUAUGGUUUCAUUU